RNAcentral lists this ribosomal RNA (253 nucleotides) under uncultured bacterium. Its description in RNAcentral is "partial 16S ribosomal RNA". It matches the Rfam family "Bacterial small subunit ribosomal RNA", at positions 524 to 776 of the family's 1533-position model. The record is from RNAcentral.
UACGUAGGGGGCUAGCGUUGUCCGGAAUCAUUGGGCGUAAAGCGCGUGUAGGCGGUUCGGUAAGUCCGCUGUGAAAGUCGGGGGCUCAACCCUCGAAAGCCGGUGGAUACUGUCGGGCUAGAGUCCGGAAGAGGCGAGUGGAAUUCCAGGUGUAGCGGUGAAAUGCGUAGAUAUCUGGAGGAACACCGGUGGCGAAGGCGGCAUCCUGGACCGGCAUUGACGCUGAGGCGCGAAAGCUAGGGGAGCAAACGGG